Molecule: long non-coding RNA, 262 nt
Organism: Carassius auratus (goldfish)
Lineage: Eukaryota; Metazoa; Chordata; Actinopteri; Cypriniformes; Cyprinidae
Exons: 5
Source: RefSeq, a predicted model, not a curated record
CUCAUGGCGUCUCUCCAUACAUUACUGAUUCUGUGUGGAUGUGCCACAGCCCUGUGUUUGCCAACAUCUUCACUCACUGGCAAUGCAAUAUUUGAUGUGGAUAAUGGAAAAGACCUGGAUAUAUUUGAAAUAAAUGAAGCGGCAGGACUUGACCUGGUGGAAGGAGACAUUCUGAUAAAGGAGGGAGAAGGCAGAAACACUAUCCUGGGUGAAAAGUAUCGCUGGCCGACCACUGUGCCAUAUGUCCUCGACAGCAGCCUCG